This 324-nucleotide ribosomal RNA is filed under the name uncultured bacterium. Its description in RNAcentral is "bacterial SSU rRNA". It matches the Rfam family "Bacterial small subunit ribosomal RNA", at positions 28 to 334 of the family's 1533-position model. The record is from RNAcentral.
GAUGAACGCUGGCGGCGUGCCUAACACAUGCAAGUCGAACGAAGCGUCCAGGAGGAAGUUUUCGGAUGGAAUCCGGGAUGACUGAGUGGCGGACGGGUGAGUAACGCGUGGGUAACCUGCCCUGUACUGGGGGACAACAGUUAGAAAUGACUGCUAAUACCGCAUAAGCGCACAGGAUCGCAUGGUCCGGUGUGAAAAACUCCGGUGGUACAGGAUGGACCCGCGUCUGAUUAGGUAGUUGGCGGGGUAACGGCCUGCCAAGCCGACGAUCAGUAGCCGACCUGAGAGGGUGACCGGCCACAUUGGGACUGAGACACGGCCCAA